GAUGAACGCUGGCGGCGUGCCUAAUACAUGCAAGUCGAGCGAACGGACGAGAAGCUUGCUUUUCUGAUGUUAGCGGCGGACGGGUGAGUAACACGUGGAUAACCUACCUAUAAGACUGGGAUAACUUCGGGAAACCGGAGCUAAUACCGGAUAAUAUUUUGAACCGCAUGGUUCAAAAGUGAAAGACGGUCUUGCUGUCACUUAUAGAUGGAUCCGCGCUGCAUUAGCUAGUUGGUAAGGUAACGGCUUACCAAGGCAACGAUGCAUAGCCGACCUGAGAGGGUGAUCGGCCACACUGGAACUGAGACACGGUCCAGACUCCUACGGGAGGCAGCAGUAGGGAAUCUUCCGCAAAGGGCGAAAGCCUGACGGAGCAACGCCGCGUGAGUGAUGAAGGUCUUCGGAUCGUAAAACUCUGUUAUUAGGGGAGAACAUAUGUGUAAGUAACUGUGCACAUCUUGACGGUACCUAAUCAGAAAGCCACGGCUAACUACGUG
Molecule: ribosomal RNA, 497 nt
Filed under: uncultured bacterium
Lineage: Bacteria
Description: partial 16S ribosomal RNA
Rfam family: Bacterial small subunit ribosomal RNA
Source: RNAcentral